This 490-nucleotide ribosomal RNA is filed under the name uncultured bacterium. RNAcentral describes it as "bacterial SSU rRNA". It matches the Rfam family "Bacterial small subunit ribosomal RNA", at positions 28 to 507 of the family's 1533-position model. The record is from RNAcentral.
GACGAACGCUGGCGGGCGUGGAUUAGGCAUGCAAGUCAACGGUAGGAUACUUCCGGGUAUCUGAGAGUGGCGAACGGGUGAGUAACACGUAAGGUGAUCUACCCUCAAGAUUGGGACAACCCAGGGAAACUUGGGCUAAUACCGGAUGAAAGCAGCAGUGAUGUUGUUUGAAAGGUGGCGUAAGCUGCCGUUUGGGGAUGAGCCUGCGCUCUAUUAGUUAGUUGGCGGGGUAAAGGCCCACCAAGGCGAUGAUAGAUAGGCGGCCUUAACGGGUGGUCGCCCACACUGGGAUUGAGAUACGGCCCAGACUCCUACGGGAGGCAGCAGUCGAGAAUAGUCUACAAUGGCCGAAAAGGCUGAUAGUGCGACGCCGCGUGAACGAAGAAGCCCUUCGGGGUGUAAAGUUCUUUUAUAUGUGAGCAGUGCUUUCUAUGUGAACAGCAUGGGGAGAGAGAUAUUAGCAUAUGAAUAAGCAACGGCUAACUCCGUG